RNAcentral lists this ribosomal RNA (253 nucleotides) under uncultured bacterium. RNAcentral's name for it is "partial 16S ribosomal RNA". It matches the Rfam family "Bacterial small subunit ribosomal RNA", at positions 524 to 776 of the family's 1533-position model. The record is from RNAcentral.
UACGUAGGGUGCAAGCGUUGUCCGGAAUUAUUGGGCGUAAAGAGCUCGUAGGCGGUCUGUCGCGUCUGGUGUGAAAACUCGGGGCUUAACCCCGGGCCUGCAUCGGGUACGGGCAGACUAGAGUGCGGUAGGGGAGACUGGAAUUCCUGGUGUAGCGGUGAAAUGCGCAGAUAUCAGGAGGAACACCGGUGGCGAAGGCGGGUCUCUGGGCCGAUACUGACGCUGAGGAGCGAAAGCGUGGGGAGCAAACAGG